This 459-nucleotide ribosomal RNA is filed under the name uncultured bacterium. RNAcentral describes it as "partial 16S ribosomal RNA". It matches the Rfam family "Bacterial small subunit ribosomal RNA", at positions 338 to 795 of the family's 1533-position model. The record is from RNAcentral.
CCUACGGGAGGCAGCAGUGAGGAAUAAUGGUCAAUGGCCGCAGGGCUGAACCAGCCAAGUCGCGUGAGGGAUGACGGUCCUAUGGAUUGUAAACCUCUUUUGUCAGGGAGCAAAGGGCGCCACGUGUGGCGCUUUGCGAGUACCUGAAGAAAAAGCAUCGGCUAACUCCGUGCCAGCAGCCGCGGUAAUACGGAGGAUGCGAGCGUUAUCCGGAUUUAUUGGGUUUAAAGGGUGCGCAGGCGGAAUGUCAAGUCAGCGGUAAAAUUUCGGGGCUCAACCCCGUCGUGCCGUUGAAACUGGCGUUCUUGAGUGAGCGAGAAGUAUGCGGAAUGCGUGGUGUAGCGGUGAAAUGCAUAGAUAUCACGCAGAACUCCGAUUGCGAAGGCAGCAUACCGGCGCUCAACUGACGCUCAUGCACGAAAGCGUGGGUAUCGAACAGGAUUAGAUACCCCGGUAGUC